GGUUGUGUAACGAGCGAUCGUUGUCAGUAAUUUUAAUAAGUCACCUGAGCUUAUUAAUAAAGUAGAGACUGCUUUAAUAAUGUAUAUGAGUUGCUCUGACUGUGUAUAGUAAACGUGCUUAAAGAUAUAAUCGCCUAGGCGGAAUAUGCAAUGAGGGAACAAUUAUAUAACGAGGAUAAUGCCGAAUUUACUGGUGGCGAUCGCCUCGAGUUGAUAUGUGGAAGUCUUAAUGUAUGACUUACGUGUGGAGGUGGGGUUAGGAUGACCAUUACCUGGAUCCCUACAAGAUUUUACGGGGUCUUGAGGAUUGUAUUGUUGCGUCUUGAUACUGAGGAUUGAUGUAUUACAGGCGUAUUUGUGACUUGUGGUUGGUACAACUCAUAUGAAUUGUCUAUGCACUUGAAGAGUGGUUGUCCUUAAUGACUAAGAAAAUGAGUUGAGUGUAUUGAGGAUCUGACGUGGAAUACAUGGGACUCAUCAAGAGGGGUUGUAGCGUUGCGCCAUAUCAUCUCACUAGUAAUACCCAUGUGCGUCACCUGCAUAUCUCAGUUCCCAGCGAGAUAUUGCAAUGAGUGGAAUUAGUGUCCCUAAAUUACUCUAUUGGCUGAAGUCCUAUAUAGUGGCAUACCUAUAGAGUAUUGCAUAUUGCAUAUUGCAUGGUACAUGAUGAUUUCGCAGAUGUCCCCCUCAUGUAUGGAGUUGAUCUCCCUUAUCUUAUUUUAUUUUGCCAUCCUGUCAUGCGCUUCGCUGCUGUUCUAAUGGAUACCAUUAUUCUGAGGAAAGUUAUAUUGUAAUCAGUGGUAUUAUCGGGAGUUGCAAUUGCGCUGUAUGUUGAUAUCCUAGUGAUUAAAUUCUCAAUAAUAAAUUGCUGAGUAAUUUAGACGGGAAUCGGUUACGUUGAAUUAAAGGACCGAAUUACUAUGAUAUCAUUAUUAUAUUGUGCAUUCUGUUUGCGGGAAUGCAAGGAUUAUGUAAUUAUGAUCGAAUUAAAUCUCAUAUUUAGUUGGUGAUUGUUUUUAAUAAUUAUAUUAUUAAUUAUUAAGUUUGAGCAGUCAACGCUCCGUCUGCGUACCCUGUUGAAUUGCUCUUAUGGAAUAUGUAUGUAAUACGUAAGUUAUAGUUGAGACCAGCAAUCGGGAUACUCAGCUUCUCGGCUGUGUUGCGCCUACUAGUGUUCUGCGAUCUUGCAGUUGAUUACCUUUUACUGCGGUGCAUCCCUGUCUGUUCGUAUAUUGAAUGACAGACAAUUAUUGAGCUAUUGAAUGACAGACAGUUAUAAUGUGGAGAUUUCACUAGAGUGAAUCUAGUGAGAUUACUGAAUUUGAAUCCACUGAGCACUUUUAUGAGGUUUUUGACAGUUGGGAUUAGCGAGUUCGAAUUUACAAUACAUAAUUGCUGAUUUGCGAAGAUCUAUGUGACCGAUGGUUAUAAUUUUGGUUUUUUGAACUACUAAUCUGCGUAUUACUGUUGGCUUAUGUUUGUCCUGAUUUGAAGUGGAUGUCUAACUACUGCUGAUGUGAACUGUCUAUGUCUAUUUCUUUUGAAUCCUCCCUGACGGUAGUACACAAAUAGAUGAAUAAGCUGGUGCGAUGGCCUAUUUGGGAAAUUAAGUGGAGAGAGGGAUUUAUAGACGGAUCAGUAGUAUUUGAUGCAUUUUAUCUGAUUCAUUUUACGUAUUAUAGAUAUGAAUAAAUGAUUGAUUUGGUGAUGAUUUGUAAAACAAAAGCAAAAGAAAACAAAUAAAUGCGUGUCUAUUUAUUUACCCAAUAACAA
Long non-coding RNA from Formica exsecta, 1773 nucleotides. RefSeq lists it as uncharacterized. The transcript has 3 exons. The record is from RefSeq and is a predicted model, not a curated record. NCBI's taxonomy places the organism in Eukaryota, Metazoa, Arthropoda, Insecta, Hymenoptera, Formicidae.